RNAcentral lists this ribosomal RNA (465 nucleotides) under uncultured bacterium. Its description in RNAcentral is "partial 16S ribosomal RNA". It matches the Rfam family "Bacterial small subunit ribosomal RNA", at positions 28 to 507 of the family's 1533-position model. The record is from RNAcentral.
GACGAACGCUGGCGGCGUGCUUAACACAUGCAAGUCGAACGGAAAGGCCCUGCUUGCAGGGUACUCGAGUGGCGAACGGGUGAGUAACACGUGGGUGAUCUGCCCUUCACUUCGGGAUAAGCUUGGGAAACUGGGUCUAAUACCGGAUAGGAGCCAUCUUUAGUGUGGUGGUUGGAAAGUUUUUUCGGUGUAGGAUGAGCUCGCGGCCUAUCAGCUUGUUGGUGGGGUAAUGGCCUACCAAGGCGGCGACGGGUAGCCGGCCUGAGAGGGUGUACGGCCACAUUGGGACUGAGAUACGGCCCAGACUCCUACGGGAGGCAGCAGUGGGGAAUAUUGCACAAUGGGCGCAAGCCUGAUGCAGCGACGCCGCGUGGGGGAUGAAGGCCUUCGGGUUGUAAACGCCUUUCGCUAGGGACGAAGCUUUUUGUGACGGUACCUAGAUAAGAAGCACCGGCUAACUACGUG